Molecule: transfer RNA, 74 nt
Filed under: Koshicola spirodelophila
Lineage: Eukaryota; Viridiplantae; Chlorophyta; Chlorophyceae; Chaetopeltidales; Chaetopeltidaceae
Description: tRNA-Met
Rfam family: tRNA
About the family: Transfer RNA (tRNA) molecules are approximately 80 nucleotides in length. Their secondary structure includes four short double-helical elements and three loops (D, anti-codon, and T loops).
Source: RNAcentral
AGCUGGGUAGAGCAGUCUGGUAGCUUGUGGGGCUCAUAAUCCUAAGGUCGCAGGUUCGAAUCCUGCCCCAGCGC